Salmo salar (Atlantic salmon) is the source of this 475-nucleotide non-coding RNA. The record is from RefSeq and is a predicted model, not a curated record. NCBI's taxonomy places the organism in Eukaryota, Metazoa, Chordata, Actinopteri, Salmoniformes, Salmonidae.
AUUAGAAGGGUCUAGGAUUCCUUUGUAAGGCACAGCAAGAAAGACAAUCAGAUACAAUAUCAGGGAUCUCCUGGUAAGGCUUCUGGCUACCAUUAGUUCUGAAUACUGAGGUUUUGAUGAGAAAAAUGGCUGUGAGUUUUGAAAUGUCUUUGAGAAUUUCUUGGAUUUGUUGCCUGUUAAUUGGAGGGAUAACCUGUUAUCCUCCACCUAAAGGUAACUAUAGAUAUAUUCCCCCAAAUAAAUUAAAAGGAACCACGACUGGCCCAAAUACUUUAGGUGGAGCAACUGGAUCCCGUACCUCAGCAGCAGAAGCAGCCACCCACAAUGCCUCAGCAAGUGCCACGACUGGCCCAAAUACUUUAGGUGAAGCAACUGGAUCCCGUACCGCAGAAGCAGCCACCCACAAUGCCUCAGCAAGCGCCACGACUGGCCCAAAUACUUUAGGUGAAGCAACUGGCCACAGUGCCUCGGCAGC